CAAGAGGGCGGGGUUUUAGUGAAAAAACGGGUAGGGAAAAAAGUACCUCGUGACCUGUUGUGAUGCAAAUAAGCUGCCAAAACGAGAGAGCUAUCGCCAACUUUGUACAGCUCGUUUCUGUAAAUAUGUGUUAGUAAUACUGGAGUGUAACAUGGCGGCGUUUCCAUUCAUUUAGGUUCAUCUCAGGACGAAUUAUUUUAACCUCCAGCAAUGAGAAGCGGGCGGUGAGUAUAGUGUAUACUGUGUGUUUGGCCUCGCGCCUGUCAAAUAGCGAUACUGACUUCACGUUCAUUUCACUCUGAGUAAUGGGAUUUAUCUCACCUGGCGCUUCAUGUCAAAUAAUUAUCAGAGUUUACGUUCAAAGUCUUGAUUUUACUAAAGGAAUAAGAUAAAAGAAUACACCGGAGUUACUUCGUAAGACAAUGAAACUGUUCCGUUGUUAGCGAGGUGCUAAUUUUAUUGUCCUUUCCAGAUAUCGCGAUACCACACGGUAUCACUGAUUGAAGCUCAGUGUACAACAGAUAUCGCGAUACUAACACGGAAUGUCUGACUGACAGAUGUGCUGCUAUUUAACAAUAGUUUUUUAAAGAUAAAAUACGUGUGAAAUUAGGGAUCUUUUUAGUCUGUGAAGAAUAAACAUACUUGUGAAUGUACCUAAAAAUGUUUUGCUGAAUGUCGCUGAAGAGUAGGAAAUAUCGCUGAAGAGUAAGGGAAUGUUGUUGAAAGUGUACUGAAAGUGUAAGGAAUACCCAACUGGACAGACUAUUACUCAUAUGUGUGGACUACUGAAUGUAGGGAGUACACUCACAUGCACAGAGUACUGACGUGUACUGAAUACUGAGUACUGAUGUGUGUGGAGUACUAAAUAUCGGCAGUACUGGCGUGUGCAUAGUACUGAUGUGCAGAAUACUGAAUCAUAUGGAGUACUGAUGUGGGCAGAAUACUGAAUGUAGGGAGUACAGAUGUGUGUGGAGUACUGAAUGUAGGGAGUACAGAUGUGUGUGUGGAGUACUGAAUGUAGGGAGUACAGAUGUAUGUGUGUGGAGUACUGAAUGUAGGGAGUACAGAUGUGGGGAGUACAGAUAUGUGUGGAGUACAGAUGUGUGUGGAGUACUGAUGAUCAAGAUGAACAGCAGGAGUUCUGUUGCUUCAGGAGAGAGAGAGCUGAGAUAAAACCACUUUACACAUCAUCAGCACCAAACAUCACACGUCCCACCUCCACACAGAACAGAACGUAGCUUCACCGCUGUUUAGUAACGAGCAGCGUGGUUGUGUGUGUUGUGUUUGAGAGCUCUCGCUGGAGCUUCUUAUCUCCUUAUUCCGCUGCAUUCUGAACACGCAGCAGGACAGAAACAUGCUACAACACGCAGGUCCGAUCUCCACGGUGCGAGUCGUGUGGCGUAGCGCUCGGCUGUUUCUCAGGCGACGGGAAUCAAAUGAUCAACCAGCGUGGAGGGUUUCACUCAGGUCCUUCACUGUAGCUUUUGGUUUUACAGAAAAUCCGUCAAAGCCUCAGAGUGAAAUCCACACCGACCUCACUGAGGACGGACUAAACGUCUUUCUGAUUCAUCACAAUGUACAAUUUACAGCUUCUGUUCGUCUCUCACGGUUCUGUUCGUCUCUCACGGUUCUGUUCGUCUCUCACGGUUCUGUUCUGGGGACGUUUCAGUCCCGAUCCCUGUCCUACAUCCUGUAUCUGUGUCUCAUCAGAAUAGAGGUGAACGUCAG
Long non-coding RNA from Ictalurus punctatus (channel catfish), 1728 nucleotides. The record is from Ensembl. Lineage: Eukaryota; Metazoa; Chordata; Actinopteri; Siluriformes; Ictaluridae.